UAUCAUGUAUACCAGCGUUUCCCAACCUUUUUCCCUCGCGGCACACUAAUCCCAACCCAUAUUUAGCCGCGGCACACUUGUCACUUAGUUAUUUAUGUAUACAAAUUUUUUUAUACUAGACUUUCAUCAUAUUAAUUAUUAAUACCAAAAUAGUUGUAUAUCAGUAUAAUAUUUCUAGCAAACAUUUUAAAAUGGUAGGAUAGAAAAAAAUAUUAUUACAAUUAUCCUAAAUAUUUAAUUUAUUGAAAUGGAAAAACAAGAUACAUUACAAUUUUUAUAAAAAACCUAAUCUUAGUGAGAAAUUUGGGACUGUUUUCUCUUCAUUAUUAGGUUCCUUCGUGGUCGAAUGGUUGAUAAGCACACCCUCAUGUCGUCUUCCAAGUUCUUCAGUUUUGAUGGCAUUCAUUGAAGAGAAUGCUCACUAUUCAUAGCAGAACACAUUGAUUAAAUAAUCUUGAUUUCAAAGGUUUACUUUUAAUGAAGUUUACCAUUUUGACAACAGUUUGCAAUACUUCAUUGAGCUCAGGCAUCAAAGAUUUAGCAACGAGAGCUUCUCUAUAUAUGAAGCAGUGAGUGAAAAUAAUAUCCAGGUUUUCUUUCUUAACUAAUGCCAAAAAACCUGUUAAAUGACCAAUCAUUGAAGGGCACCCAUCUGUACAAACACUCAAACAAAAUUUCCAUGAUAUAUUGGCAGUGGUAAAAUAAUUGUUAACCAAAUUAAAAAUAUCUUGUCCUUUUGUAGUUUCAGGAAGGUCUUUACAAAAUAAAAAUUGUUCUAUCAACUCAUUAUCGCAUAUAAAUUUUACGAAUGUCAUGACCUGAGGUUUUCCGGUUACAUCUGUAGACUCAUCUAAUUGAAGGGCAAACAAUUCAGCUGCUUUCAGUUUUUCAUUCACGNUCACCAAACAAAAUUUUAAAGAUUUCACAGCAUGCUGGUAAAAUGGUUGACUCGGCUGUUGUGUGAGAUUUCAUUUUUUUUGCUAUCAGUUCCACGACAGCAUAGCUAGCUUCCUGUGCCUUAUCUGAUACAGUUGAGUGUUUUAUAAACUUUAAAGCCUGUCUGUUUUGAUCUGAGGCUAACCUUUUGAAAAAAUCUAGAGGCUUUUCAGACGCAAAACCAUGUUUUGUAAGCAGGUGCCUUUUCAGCUUACUUGGUACAAUACUUUCAUUAGAUAAUUUUUCAAUACACAUGAGGCAUUGAGGUAUACUAGGUAUAGGCAUUUCUCCACCACUCGACGUGAAAUCAAAUGAUAAAAAGCUUUCGUGAUAUUGUCGAAUAUAAUUUUUUGAUCGUACGUUAGCAUUUUUACUCGCACUCACCUCAACAUUAGGAGGAUUGAAACUAGGACCAGGCAAUUCCUCAACAUCAACUCUAUGAGCACUAUUAGGAUCAGGCAAUUCUUCGCUUAAUUUACGUUUCCUAAUUAAAAAAUGAUCCAUCGUGCGCUACACGUAGUACGAAUGAUAAUCGUAAAGCGAAAAGAAAAAAUUUCCGUUAAAGUAUAACACGGUA
Molecule: non-coding RNA, 1513 nt
Organism: Cinara cedri
Lineage: Eukaryota; Metazoa; Arthropoda; Insecta; Hemiptera; Aphididae
Source: the annotation of a GenBank genome assembly